GAAAGAGGGAAGAGGCCAAGGAGAAACUGGGGUGAUCGAAACCCUAAUCCGAAUUCACUAUUGUCAUCAAGAAAGUCCCCAAAUUUUAGUUGGGUGAUGAAAGCUAUUACAUCGAAAGUUAAUUUCUACACCGUUGUCGGUGCAGCGGCGACCGGGCAACGGCUGGUGUUUUGUCUGGCAUCUGAAGGGUGCUAGCCUGUUGGGGAGGGUAAAGGGUUAUAUCAGACAUAGGAGUAAAACUGACGACAGCAACUGUUUCCGGCCAUGAACCAGCGUGGGAGACCACCGUUGAUUGACCGGCUCGGCCUUUUCUCCUGCCAUUCAUUCACGGCCGAUCAGUUCUGCUCCCCAUCAUAA
RNAcentral lists this long non-coding RNA (357 nucleotides) under Helianthus annuus (common sunflower). Its description in RNAcentral is "sRNA HanXRQr2_Chr01g0004241". The record is from RNAcentral. Lineage: Eukaryota; Viridiplantae; Streptophyta; Magnoliopsida; Asterales; Asteraceae.